GGAGAUGGAUGGAGACUGCUCAGUGGGAUCGUAGCGUGACCGUGCGAUGUGGCGUAGGACGCUUCGUGCGCCGCGUCGGUGCCUGCCUACGUUUCUCGUUGUGUGUGUGUGUCUCUCUCCGUGUCUAUCUAGUGCGUGCACUCGAUGUGCCGCGGCGCGGUCGGCUCCUGCCCCGCAGACGUUUGACAGACGAUUUGGUUCAAAGAACUGAGCACAGAGAUACC
RNAcentral lists this unclassified non-coding RNA (224 nucleotides) under Pocillopora damicornis (cauliflower coral). Its description in RNAcentral is "partial ITS1". Lineage: Eukaryota; Metazoa; Cnidaria; Anthozoa; Scleractinia; Pocilloporidae. The record is from RNAcentral.